CCUACGGGAGGCAGCAGUGGGGAAUAUUGCACAAUGGGGGAAACCCUGAUGCAGCGACGCCGCGUGAGUGAAGAAGUAAUUCGUUACGUAAAGCUCUAUCAGCAGGGAAGAAAAUGACGGUACCUGAGUAAGAAGCCCCGGCUAACUACGUGCCAGCAGCCGCGGUAAUACGUAGGGGGCAAGCGUUAUCCGGAUUUACUGGGUGUAAAGGGAGCGUAGACGGUGCGCCAAGUCUGGAGUGAAAUGCCGCAGCUUAACUGCGGAACUGCUUUGGAAACUGGCGAACUAGAGUGCGGGAGGGGUAAGCGGAAUUCCUAGUGUAGCGGUGAAAUGCGUAAAUAUAUGUAAGAACACCAGUGGCGAAGGCGGCUUGCUGGGUCGAUACUGACAUUGAGGCACGAAAGCGUGGGGAGCAAACAGGAUUAGAUACCCUUGUAGUC
RNAcentral lists this ribosomal RNA (440 nucleotides) under uncultured bacterium. RNAcentral describes it as "partial 16S ribosomal RNA". It matches the Rfam family "Bacterial small subunit ribosomal RNA", at positions 338 to 795 of the family's 1533-position model. The record is from RNAcentral.